Molecule: ribosomal RNA, 477 nt
Filed under: Veillonella atypica
Lineage: Bacteria; Bacillati; Bacillota; Negativicutes; Veillonellales; Veillonellaceae
Description: bacterial SSU rRNA
Rfam family: Bacterial small subunit ribosomal RNA
Source: RNAcentral
GACGAACGCUGGCGGCGUGCUUAACACAUGCAAGUCGAACGAAGAGCGAUGGAAGCUUGCUUCUAUCAAUCUUAGUGGCGAACGGGUGAGUAACGCGUAAUCAACCUGCCCUUCAGAGGGGGACAACAGUUGGAAACGACUGCUAAUACCGCAUACGAUCCAAUCUCGGCAUCGAGACUGGAUGAAAGGUGGCCUCUAUUUAUAAGCUAUCACUGAAGGAGGGGAUUGCGUCUGAUUAGCUAGUUGGAGGGGUAACGGCCCACCAAGGCGAUGAUCAGUAGCCGGUCUGAGAGGAUGAACGGCCACAUUGGGACUGAGACACGGCCCAGACUCCUACGGGAGGCAGCAGUGGGGAAUCUUCCGCAAUGGACGAAAGUCUGACGGAGCAACGCCGCGUGAGUGAUGACGGCCUUCGGGUUGUAAAGCUCUGUUAAUCGGGACGAAUGGUUCUUGUGCGAAUAGUGCGAGGAUUUGACG